GACAAACGCUAGCGGCGUGCCUAAGAAAUGCAAGUCGAGCGGAUCGAGGGUGCUUGCACCCAAAGGUUAGCGGCGAACGGUCGCGUAACACGUAAGCAACCUGCCUCGAAGUGGGGGAUAGUCCUCCGAAAGGGGGCUUAAUACCGCAUGUGGACAAUAACUGGCAUCUGGUAUUGUCUAAAGCAGUAAUGCGCUUCGAGAUGGGCUUGCGGCCUAUCAGCUAGUUGGUGAGGUAACGGCUUACCAAGGCGACGACGGGUAGCUGGUCUGAGAGGAUGGUCAGCCGGACUGGGACUGAGACACGGCCCAGACACCUACGGGUGGCAG
Molecule: ribosomal RNA, 327 nt
Filed under: uncultured Armatimonadota bacterium
Lineage: Bacteria; Bacillati; Armatimonadota
Description: bacterial SSU rRNA
Rfam family: Bacterial small subunit ribosomal RNA
Source: RNAcentral